This 32-nucleotide ribosomal RNA is filed under the name Penicillium montanense. RNAcentral describes it as "partial 18S ribosomal RNA". Lineage: Eukaryota; Fungi; Ascomycota; Eurotiomycetes; Eurotiales; Aspergillaceae. The record is from RNAcentral.
CGGUUAGGGUGGACCUGGCGGAAGGAUCAUUA